GGGGGCGUAAAUGGUUUCGACGGGGAUAUAGAAGGAAGAUAAGCGAGUCGUUGCGCUGAACAACGUAAAAAGCGGCAAAAAAAAAUAAACGCAAACGAAGAAAAUUUAGCUUACGCAGCUUAAAAGCUGCCAGCUUGUUCCGCUUAACCGACCUGUAGGUUAAACCGGGGCAUCAUUAAAAUCAGGGAAGACUUAAGGAGCUCUUCGACCUUAAGUUGAAUAAUCGAAGAUAGCCGGUACUAUAGCUUGGGCAUAGGCGAUAGUAAAGGCGAAAAUAAAAUUAUGUCCUGCACUCGGAGAAAGUCUUGUGGAAAUAUUUUCGGACGUGGGUUCGACUCCCACCGCCUCCAUCA
Molecule: transfer-messenger RNA, 353 nt
Filed under: Clostridiales bacterium
Lineage: Bacteria; Bacillati; Bacillota; Clostridia; Eubacteriales
Also listed under: 1 other name
Rfam family: transfer-messenger RNA
About the family: Bacterial tmRNA, also known as 10Sa RNA or SsrA, is named for its dual tRNA and mRNA-like properties. Its role is to liberate the mRNA from a stalled ribosome.
Source: RNAcentral